Molecule: long non-coding RNA, 1330 nt
Filed under: Piliocolobus tephrosceles (Ugandan red Colobus)
Lineage: Eukaryota; Metazoa; Chordata; Mammalia; Primates; Cercopithecidae
Description: lncRNA (ENSPTEG00000024895.1)
Source: RNAcentral
AGCCUCCUCCUGCAGCUGCUGCUGGAAUAGUGAAAGUGUUGGUUUGAACCUCAGAAGGAAACAGACUCAUAAGCUACCCAUAUAAAUGUAAUCUAUAAAACAAUGGUUUUCACCCAUGAUCCUUUAAAAUAUAUAUUUUUAAGCUCUAACUCUUGAGAUUCUGAUUCUCCAGGCAGGGCCCCACUUUGUAGAUUUUUAGCACACUCUGGAGGAUUCUAUGGUGGGACCAGAACAAGGACCCCAAUUUUCUAGCUCUUGACUGGAGCCUCCCCAUACCCUGCAUGAUCCCUAGACCAUGGUCCCGGCCGGAUGGGGAUCCCACAACCCCCGGGGCUGCAACCGCUUGCCUGUGGCAGCAGGGGCUUGGCCCUCUCCACCUUUCUUUCUAGCUCCUUUAUGUUGAGCUGGAUCUCAGACUUUUGAGUCUCUUGAAGUCGAACUUUUUCUUCUAAUUUGAUAUUUUUCUCCUUCAGCUCCUCAUCGAUUAUGCUAUGGCCAGAGACAGUAGAGAAAGGAAUGAACGAAGAACAGAAAGGAACGCUUUGGUGACCAACCCUCUGCUUUCACCCCACAACCACAGAACCGUGGCAUUGGAUGGGACCCCAGGAAUUAAAAGUCCCAGGUGGCAGGCCAGAGAGAAGAUAUGAGUUGCCUGAGGCUACCCCUGACAGCAGAGAGGGCCCGCUCUAAUUCUCCGGCAAACUUCCAUGAUUCAUGGAGGCGGCACACCAGAUCCCUGGUCUCUCCUGGAAUGAGAGACAUUCAGAUGCGGCCCAAAGGACUCCCCCUAAAGGCUUGUCAAAGUGCCAGGUUUUAAGAUGACAGGGUGCCGGAUGCCCACCUUGCAGCUGCUGGACAGCAUGCUGGCUGUCAUACAGUGCCGCCUGAAGCUCCGUUUGCUGAAAUAAAGAGGAAGACAGAGCUCUUACCAGGGGGAGGCAGAGAUGGCACAGCAAGGGACAUGCCCCCAGAAUGGCACCACUGCCCCAGGACAGGCCCACCCAUGGGACCAGCAGAUGGAGAGGAUUCAAACCCAGAAUUCUUAACCAGUGCCUGGGAGAUCUUCCACAAUCUUAACAAUUACCCUCCACCACCCCUUGGGCCCUCUGUCCCCAGGAGCCUGGCCAGCCAAGACUCACAUCCUCAGGUCCCACAGUCCCCAAUCCCCUUCCAGCUGGAAACCUGUGCUAUAACCAGAGGAACCAGAAAUGGGCAAGAACACUCAGGGGACUGGGUCCUAAGACCAAAGACCAGUCUCGUGGCAGUAAUGACAGUUCCUAGAGGGACUGUGACAUCACUACAUUCCACUCCUCAGUGGAGUGGUGGGGAG